This 2691-nucleotide ribosomal RNA is filed under the name Klebsiella pneumoniae. RNAcentral describes it as "partial 23S ribosomal RNA". It matches the Rfam family "Bacterial large subunit ribosomal RNA". Lineage: Bacteria; Pseudomonadati; Pseudomonadota; Gammaproteobacteria; Enterobacterales; Enterobacteriaceae. RNAcentral also lists the same sequence under 1 other name. The record is from RNAcentral.
ACCGGCGAUGUCCGAAUGGGGAAACCCAGUGCAAUUCGUUGCACUAUCGUUAACUGAAUACAUAGGUUAACGAGGCGAACCGGGGGAACUGAAACAUCUAAGUACCCCGAGGAAAAGAAAUCAACCGAGAUUCCCCCAGUAGCGGCGAGCGAACGGGGAGCAGCCCAGAGUCUGAAUCAGCUUGUGUGUUAGUGGAACGGUCUGGAAAGUCCGACGGUACAGGGUGAUAGUCCCGUACACCAAAAUGCACAGGCUGUGAACUCGAAGAGUAGGGCGGGACACGUGGUAUCCUGUCUGAAUAUGGGGGGACCAUCCUCCAAGGCUAAAUACUCCUGACUGACCGAUAGUGAACCAGUACCGUGAGGGAAAGGCGAAAAGAACCCCGGCGAGGGGAGUGAAAAAGAACCUGAAACCGUGUACGUACAAGCAGUGGGAGCACCUUCGGGUGUGACUGCGUACCUUUUGUAUAAUGGGUCAGCGACUUAUAUUCUGUAGCAAGGUUAACCGUAUAGGGGAGCCGCAGGGAAACCGAGUCUUAACUGGGCGUUAAGUUGCAGGGUAUAGACCCGAAACCCGGUGAUCUAGCCAUGGGCAGGUUGAAGGUUGGGUAACACUAACUGGAGGACCGAACCGACUAAUGUUGAAAAAUUAGCGGAUGACUUGUGGCUGGGGGUGAAAGGCCAAUCAAACCGGGAGAUAGCUGGUUCUCCCCGAAAGCUAUUUAGGUAGCGCCUCGUGAACUCAUCUUCGGGGGUAGAGCACUGUUUCGGCUAGGGGGUCAUCCCGACUUACCAACCCGAUGCAAACUACGAAUACCGAAGAAUGUUAUCACGGGAGACACACGGCGGGUGCUAACGUCCGUCGUGAAGAGGGAAACAACCCAGACCGCCAGCUAAGGUCCCAAAGUCAUGGUUAAGUGGGAAACGAUGUGGGAAGGCACAGACAGCCAGGAUGUUGGCUUAGAAGCAGCCAUCAUUUAAAGAAAGCGUAAUAGCUCACUGGUCGAGUCGGCCUGCGCGGAAGAUGUAACGGGGCUAAACCAUGCACCGAAGCUGCGGCAGCGACACUAUGUGUUGUUGGGUAGGGGAGCGUUCUGUAAGCCUGCGAAGGUGUGCUGUGAGGCAUGCUGGAGGUAUCAGAAGUGCGAAUGCUGACAUAAGUAACGAUAAAGCGGGUGAAAAGCCCGCUCGCCGGAAGACCAAGGGUUCCUGUCCAACGUUAAUCGGGGCAGGGUGAGUCGACCCCUAAGGCGAGGCCGAAAGGCGUAGUCGAUGGGAAACAGGUUAAUAUUCCUGUACUUGGUGUUACUGCGAAGGGGGGACGGAGAAGGCUAUGUUAGCCGGGCGACGGUUGUCCCGGUUUAAGCAUGUAGGCUGGUUAUCCAGGCAAAUCCGGAUAAUCAAGGCUGAGGUGUGAUGACGAGGCACUACGGUGCUGAAGUAACAAAUGCCCUGCUUCCAGGAAAAGCCUCUAAGCAUCAGGUAACAUCAAAUCGUACCCCAAACCGACACAGGUGGUCAGGUAGAGAAUACCAAGGCGCUUGAGAGAACUCGGGUGAAGGAACUAGGCAAAAUGGUGCCGUAACUUCGGGAGAAGGCACGCUGGUGUGUAGGUGAAGUCCCUGCGGAUGGAGCUGAGACCAGUCGAAGAUACCAGCUGGCUGCAACUGUUUAUUAAAAACACAGCACUGUGCAAACACGAAAGUGGACGUAUACGGUGUGACGCCUGCCCGGUGCCGGAAGGUUAAUUGAUGGGGUUAUCCGUAAGGAGAAGCUCUUGAUCGAAGCCCCGGUAAACGGCGGCCGUAACUAUAACGGUCCUAAGGUAGCGAAAUUCCUUGUCGGGUAAGUUCCGACCUGCACGAAUGGCGUAAUGAUGGCCAGGCUGUCUCCACCCGAGACUCAGUGAAAUUGAACUCGCUGUGAAGAUGCAGUGUACCCGCGGCAAGACGGAAAGACCCCGUGAACCUUUACUAUAGCUUGACACUGAACAUUGAGCCUUGAUGUGUAGGAUAGGUGGGAGGCUUUGAAGCGUGGACGCCAGUCUGCGUGGAGCCAACCUUGAAAUACCACCCUUUAAUGUUUGAUGUUCUAACGUUGGCCCCUGACCGGGGUUGCGGACAGUGUCUGGUGGGUAGUUUGACUGGGGCGGUCUCCUCCCAAAGCGUAACGGAGGAGCACGAAGGUUAGCUAAUCCUGGUCGGACAUCAGGAGGUUAGUGCAAUGGCAUAAGCUAGCUUGACUGCGAGCGUGACGGCGCGAGCAGGUGCGAAAGCAGGUCAUAGUGAUCCGGUGGUUCUGAAUGGAAGGGCCAUCGCUCAACGGAUAAAAGGUACUCCGGGGAUAACAGGCUGAUACCGCCCAAGAGUUCAUAUCGACGGCGGUGUUUGGCACCUCGAUGUCGGCUCAUCACAUCCUGGGGCUGAAGUAGGUCCCAAGGGUAUGGCUGUUCGCCAUUUAAAGUGGUACGCGAGCUGGGUUUAGAACGUCGUGAGACAGUUCGGUCCCUAUCUGCCGUGGGCGCUGGAGAAUUGAGGGGGGCUGCUCCUAGUACGAGAGGACCGGAGUGGACGCAUCACUGGUGUUCGGGUUGUCAUGCCAAUGGCACUGCCCGGUAGCUAAAUGCGGAAGAGAUAAGUGCUGAAAGCAUCUAAGCACGAAACUUGCCCCGAGAUGAGUUCUCCCUGAGACU